RNAcentral lists this ribosomal RNA (789 nucleotides) under uncultured archaeon. RNAcentral's name for it is "bacterial SSU rRNA". It matches the Rfam family "Archaeal small subunit ribosomal RNA", at positions 85 to 879 of the family's 1478-position model. The record is from RNAcentral.
ACUGCUCAGUAACACGUGGACAAUCUACCCUAUGGAGGGGGAUAACCCCGGGAAACUGGGGAUAAUACCCCAUAGACUAUGGAUGCUGGAAUGCUCUGUAGUCGAAAGGUCCGCCGCCAUAGGAUGGGUCUGCGGCCGAUUAGGUUGUUGUUGGGGUAACGGCCCAACAAGCCUGUAAUCGGUACGGGUUGUGGGAGCAAGAGCCCGGAGAUGGAUUCUGAGACACGAAUCCAGGCCCUACGGGGCGCAGCAGGCGCGAAAACUUUGCAAUGCGGGAAACCGUGACAAGGGAACUCUGAGUGCCCGUAAAAUCGGGCUGUCCAUCGGUUUAAAAAACCGGUGAAGAAAGGGCCGGGCAAGACCGGUGCCAGCCGCCGCGGUAAUACCGGCGGCUCGAGUGGUGGCCACUAUUACUGGGCUUAAAGCGUUCGUAGCUGGUUUGUUAAGUCUCUGGGGAAAUCUUCCGGCUUAACCGGAAGGCGUCUCAGGGAUACUGGCAGACUAGGGACCGGGAGAGGUGAGAGGUACUCCAGGGGUAGGAGUGAAAUCCUGUAAUCCUUGGGGGACCACCUGUGGCGAAGGCAUCUCACCAGAACGGCUCCGACAGUGAGGGACGAAAGCUGGGGGAGCAAACCGGAUUAGAUACCCGGGUAGUCCCAGCUGUAAACGAUGCGCGUUAGGUGUAUCGGUGACCACGAGUCACCGAGGUGCCGAAGAGAAAUCGUGAAACGUGCCGCCUGGGAAGUACGGUCGCAAGGCUGAAACUUAAAGGAAUUGGCGGGGGAGCAC